AGCGAACGCUGGCGGCAUGCCUAACACAUGCAAGUCGCACGGGGGGGCUUCGGCCUCCCAGUGGCGGACGGGUGAGGAACGCGUAGGGACCUGUCGAGGGGUGGGGGAUAACCGCGGGAAACUGCGGCUAAUACCGCAUGACGCCGCGGCGUGACAGCCGGGGCCAAAGGCGAAAGCCGCCCGCCGAGGGGCCUGCGUCCGAUUAGCUGGUUGGCGGGGUAGCGGCCCACCAAGGCGUCGAUCGGUAGCUGGUCUGAGAGGGUGAUCAGCCACACCGGGACUGAGACACGGCCCGGACUCCUACGGGAGGCAGCAGUGGGGAAUAUUGGACAAUGGGCGCAAGCCUGAUCCAGCAAUGCCGCGUGGGUGAAGAAGGUCGUCGGAUUGUAAAGCCCUUUCGGCGGGGACGAUGGUGACGGUACCCGCAGAAGAAGCCCCGGCUAACUUCGUG
Molecule: ribosomal RNA, 451 nt
Filed under: uncultured bacterium
Lineage: Bacteria
Description: partial 16S ribosomal RNA
Rfam family: Bacterial small subunit ribosomal RNA
Source: RNAcentral